RNAcentral lists this ribosomal RNA (450 nucleotides) under uncultured bacterium. RNAcentral's name for it is "bacterial SSU rRNA". It matches the Rfam family "Bacterial small subunit ribosomal RNA", at positions 8 to 458 of the family's 1533-position model. The record is from RNAcentral.
AGAGUUUGAUCCUGGCUCAGAUUGAACGCUGGCGGCAUGCUUUACACAUGCAAGUCGAACGGCAGCACGGGUGCUUGCACCUGGUGGCGAGUGGCGAACGGGUGAGUAAUGCACCGGAACGUACCCAGUAAUGGGGGAUAACACAUCGAAAGAUGUGCUAAUACCGCAUACGCCCUGAGGGGGAAAGCGGGGGAUCGUAAGACCUCGCGUUAUUGGAGCGGCCGAUGCCGGAUUAGCUAGUUGGUGAGGUAAGAGCUCACCAAGGCGACGAUCUGUAGCUGGUCUGAGAGGACGACCAGCCACACUGGGACUGAGACACGGCCCAGACUCCUACGGGAGGCAGCAGUGGGGAAUUUUGGACAAUGGGCGCAAGCCUGAUCCAGCCAUGCCGCGUGAGUGAAGAAGGCCUUCGGGUUGUAAAGCUCUUUCGCAAGGAAAGAAAACUUAUCU